UACGUAGGGUCCGAGCGUUGUCCGGAGUUACUGGGCGUAAAGCGCGCGCAGGCGGCCCGCGAGGUGUCACGUGAAAGCCCCGGGCUCAACUCGGGAGGGUCGUGGCAAACCGGCGGCUUGAGGCCGGUAGAGGUGGGUGGAACUCCUGGUGGAGUGGUGAAAUGCGUAGAGAUCAGGAAGAACACCCGUGGCGAAGGCGGUCCACUGGGACGGU
This 214-nucleotide ribosomal RNA is filed under the name uncultured bacterium. Its description in RNAcentral is "partial 16S ribosomal RNA". It matches the Rfam family "Bacterial small subunit ribosomal RNA", at positions 524 to 738 of the family's 1533-position model. The record is from RNAcentral.